GAGAUUGUGGUGAAGAGGUAACACGUACGAUUGUGGCUCGUAUAUGCGCGGGUUCGAACCCCGUCAAUCUCCCCA
This 75-nucleotide transfer RNA is filed under the name compost metagenome. RNAcentral describes it as "tRNA-His". It matches the Rfam family "tRNA". Rfam says of the family: Transfer RNA (tRNA) molecules are approximately 80 nucleotides in length. Their secondary structure includes four short double-helical elements and three loops (D, anti-codon, and T loops). The record is from RNAcentral.